This 480-nucleotide ribosomal RNA is filed under the name uncultured bacterium. RNAcentral describes it as "partial 16S ribosomal RNA". It matches the Rfam family "Bacterial small subunit ribosomal RNA", at positions 28 to 507 of the family's 1533-position model. The record is from RNAcentral.
GACGAACGUUGGCGGCGUGCUUAAUACAUGCAAGUCCACUGAAGCAGUGGUAGCAAUAUCGCUGUGGAGGUGGCGCACGGGUGAGUAACACGUAGGUAAUCUGCCUUCAGGUCUGGCAUAACUCCGGGAAACCGGGGCUAAUAGCAGAUGAUGCAGCGGCUCGACAUCGAGACAGUUGUUAAAGCUAUGGCGCCUGAAGAUGAGCCUGCGUCUGAUUAGCUAGUUGGCGGGGUAACGGCCCACCAAGGCAACGAUCAGUAGCUGGUCUGAGAGGAUGAUCAGCCACACUGGAACUGAGACACGGUCCAGACUCCUACGGGAGGCAGCAGUAAGGAAUAUUGCUCAAUGGAGAAAUCCUGAAGCAGCAACGCCGCGUGAGGGACGAAGGGCUUUUGCUUGUAAACCUCUGUAGUGAGAGAAAAAAAUCCCAAUCUUUGGGACAUGGUGGUAUCUCAAAAGUAAGCCCCGGCUAACUACGUG